Molecule: unclassified non-coding RNA, 278 nt
Filed under: Hevea brasiliensis (rubber tree)
Lineage: Eukaryota; Viridiplantae; Streptophyta; Magnoliopsida; Malpighiales; Euphorbiaceae
Source: RNAcentral
CCUUUGUGUUUGCCACUAGGACAACAGAGAAAUCAAAACCUGUAUUGUUGUCUUUGUAUAUGUAUGUAAGGGUUCCUUUGUUGGGUGUGUUAUGAGAUCCUCUAUCAAAUCUUGGAAUUGAUAUAGAGGGCUUUUGUUGUUUGUUGAGAAGGAGGCAGUUUCGUUCUCUCUCUCGGUUUCGAGAUUUUUUUGGUUUUCUCAGCCUUCAAAAAAGAAAACCCAAAAACCGGAAGAGAAGAGGUAGCAAGCGAAGGCGAAGGGUAUUUAUAGGAGGGAAC